UUGACCUCAAAUCAGGUAGGACUACCCGCUGAACUUAAGCAUAUCAAUAAGCGGAGGAAAAGAAACUAACAAGGAUUCCCCUAGUAACUGCGAGUGAAGCGGGAAAAGCUCAAAUUUAAAAUCUGGUAGUCUUUGGCUGCCCGAGUUGUAAUCUAGAGAAGCGUUAUCCGCGCUGGACCGUGUAUAAGUCUCCUGGAAUGGAGCGUCAUAGAGGGUGAGAAUCCCGUCUUUAACACGGACUCCCAGGGCUUUGUGAUGCGCUCUCAAAGAGUCGAGUUGUUUGGGAAUGCAGCUCUAAAUGGGUGGUAAAUUCCAUCUAAAGCUAAAUAUUGGCGAGAGACCGAUAGCGAACAAGUACCGUGAGGGAAAGAUGAAAAGAACUUUGGAAACAGAGUUAAACAGUACGUGAAAUUGUUGAAAGGGAAACGCUUGAAGUCAGUCGCGUUGAUCAGGGAUCAACCUUGCUUUUGCUUGGUGUACUUCCUGGUUAACGGGUCAGCAUCAAUUUUGACCAGUGGAAAAAGGUCAGGGGAAUGUGGCAUCUUCGGAUGUGUUAUAGCCUCUGGUCAUAUACAUUGGUUGGGAUUGAGGAACUCAGCA
Molecule: ribosomal RNA, 600 nt
Filed under: Entoloma conferendum
Lineage: Eukaryota; Fungi; Basidiomycota; Agaricomycetes; Agaricales; Entolomataceae
Description: eukaryotic LSU rRNA
Rfam family: Eukaryotic large subunit ribosomal RNA
Source: RNAcentral